AGGAUGAACGCUGGCGGCGUGCUUAACACAUGCAAGUCGAACGAUCCUUCGGGAUAGUGGCGCACGGGUGAGGAACACGUAGCUAACCUGCCUCAGAGUACAGAAUAACUCCUCGAAAGAGGCGCUAAUACUGUAUAAGCUCACGAGUUGUAGAUACUCAUGAGAAAAGAUUUAUCGC
This 178-nucleotide ribosomal RNA is filed under the name uncultured soil bacterium. RNAcentral's name for it is "partial 16S ribosomal RNA". It matches the Rfam family "Bacterial small subunit ribosomal RNA", at positions 26 to 218 of the family's 1533-position model. The record is from RNAcentral.